GCUGGGUGUGGUGGUGUGCACCUGUAGUCUCAGCUACUUGGGAGGCUGAGGCAGGAGGAUCACUUGAGCCUGGGAGGUUGAGGGUGCAGUGAGUCAUAAUUGCAUCACUGCACUCCAGCAUGGGAGACAGAGUGAGACCCUGUCUCAU
Molecule: non-coding RNA, 148 nt
Filed under: Pan troglodytes (chimpanzee)
Lineage: Eukaryota; Metazoa; Chordata; Mammalia; Primates; Hominidae
Source: Rfam by way of RNAcentral